This 207-nucleotide ribosomal RNA is filed under the name uncultured bacterium. RNAcentral describes it as "partial 16S ribosomal RNA". It matches the Rfam family "Bacterial small subunit ribosomal RNA", at positions 568 to 774 of the family's 1533-position model. The record is from RNAcentral.
UGCGUAGGCGGUUUGGUAAGUCAGAUGUGAAAUCCCGGGGCUCAACCCCGGAACUGCAUCCGAUACUGCCGGACUUGAGGACUGGAGAGGUGACUGGAAUUCUCGGUGUAGCAGUGAAAUGCGUGGAUAUCGAGAGGAACACUCGUGGCGUAAGCGAGUCACUGGACAGUAUCUGACGCUGAGGCACGAAGGCCAGGGUAGCGAAAG